ACCUUUUAACUCAUCAGCAUACUAGCGUAGUGUAGCACACCACCACAUCGGUACAGCGGCAAACAAACAAACAAACGCAUUUGCAUAAGCAAUCAACGUGCGCUUGGUUCAACCGCGUGUCGAUUACACGAAUAUUAAUUGACUGUGUCGCUGUCUAAUUCGUGAAUGUCUCCACCUGUCAACUGUUGUUCUAAAACUCAACGAGAGAAUUGUAUCUGUGUCUCGAGAUGAACGAAGGCCAAAUUGACCCGAAACAAAAGCACCAGCAUCCACGGAUUGAAUGUGGUCUGUGUGGUAUGCACAUUUCGCAGAAACAUUUGGGACGACAUCGAAUUCGUCGCCAUCCAAAUUGUCCAAGCGUUGACAAGAUGACCGAUUUGACUGUGAAUCGAUCGGCUCAACCACCACAGCCGGUGUCAACAUCAAGAGGUGUGGCAUCAAAGAAUGUUACGAAGCCGAUGGAUGCUGAAAUACGACAAGCAAUUGAAGUUCAAUCGCAAAAGCCAUAUUCGGACGAGGUUUGCUUUGUCAAAGUGAGAAUGAGCGAACAGGAACUGAUCAGAUUGAUGAAUCGCGGCCGUAUUUAUCAUGCCGUUGGCAAAUUUUUUAUGUAUGAUUCAUAAAGCGAAGUAAGGUUAGGUUCAAGUCGACGGUCAUCAAUAUGCAAAUGUCAAACGCACUAACACCAUUCAAUUGUCUACACAAGCGAUUCGCGCGUUUUUUUCCCUCCAAUAACUCGUCGACCACUGUCAACGCAUUAUUUUCGUCGUGAAUUUGAACCAAACCAAUUGUAUUAUUCUCAAGCGGCAUUUGUUUCCCGUCAGAAAUCAAUCGAAAAAGUUGUGUGUGUGUCAAGUUGUUCUGCUGAUUGUGCCGCUAAUCAAGACCA
This is a long non-coding RNA of Sitodiplosis mosellana (orange wheat blossom midge), 889 nucleotides long. RefSeq lists it as uncharacterized. NCBI's taxonomy places the organism in Eukaryota, Metazoa, Arthropoda, Insecta, Diptera, Cecidomyiidae. The transcript is spliced from 3 exons. The record is from RefSeq and is a predicted model, not a curated record.